CCUCUUCCAUCUUUGUGCCGUCGCCGCCAUUCGCCGCUACCUCCUUCGCCACGUUAAUGCCCGACUAACGUUGCCCUUGCAGUCACCAAAGAUAUUGAUCUCUCAUAUUCACGUUGUCGUGCCUAGGGUUUAGAGCGAUUCUAAAACGGCGGUACAACGGCGGCAUCGACAUCUUUAUUCAUUGAUCCACAAGGUAUUUUGACCAUAUCAUGAAUCCCAUCACCAUUUGACCUCAGAUCUGAUCUAUGUGGAUUUAGAUUUUGGGAUUGGCGUGAUGGAAGAAUCAGUAUUUUCCAGAAGGUGAUUUGUUGAGUUGCAUGAAGGGUGAUGCAUGGAGAGUCAUUAUAAUUGGUUUUGUGUUAAUAAUUCUUAUUCUUCUUUUGAUGCUUUGAUGUUGUUAAUUGAUGAACACUUUAACUUUUUUGAUUUAAAUACGUAGUUGAUUAGAAGCUAACUUAGGAACAGUUUAAUAGUUGAUUUUGAUAUGUUAUAGUUG
RNAcentral lists this long non-coding RNA (496 nucleotides) under Erythranthe guttata (spotted monkey flower). RNAcentral describes it as "long non-coding RNA (EGUT_LNC002689)". The record is from RNAcentral. Lineage: Eukaryota; Viridiplantae; Streptophyta; Magnoliopsida; Lamiales; Phrymaceae.